Molecule: ribosomal RNA, 110 nt
Filed under: uncultured bacterium
Lineage: Bacteria
Description: partial 16S ribosomal RNA
Rfam family: Bacterial small subunit ribosomal RNA
Source: RNAcentral
CCCGGGCCUUGUACACACCGCCCGUCACACCACGAAAGUUGGUAACACCCGAAGCCAGUGGCCCAACCCUCGGGAGGGAGCUGUCGAAGGUGGGAUCAGCGAUUGGGGUG